UACAGAGGUCCCAAGCGUUGUUCGGAUUCAUUGGGCGUAAAGGGUGCGUAGGCGGCGCGGGGAGUCGGGUGUGAAAUCUCGGAGCUUAACUCCGAAACUGCAUUCGAUACUGCCGUGCUUGAGGACUGGAGAGGAGACUGGAAUUCAUGGUGUAGCAGUGAAAUGCGUAGAGAUCAUGAGGAAGACCAGUGGCGAAGGCGGGUCUCUGGACAGUUCCUGACACUGAGGCACGAAGGCCAGGGGAGCAAACGGG
RNAcentral lists this ribosomal RNA (253 nucleotides) under uncultured bacterium. RNAcentral's name for it is "partial 16S ribosomal RNA". It matches the Rfam family "Bacterial small subunit ribosomal RNA", at positions 524 to 776 of the family's 1533-position model. The record is from RNAcentral.